Molecule: ribosomal RNA, 402 nt
Filed under: Triticum aestivum (bread wheat)
Lineage: Eukaryota; Viridiplantae; Streptophyta; Magnoliopsida; Poales; Poaceae
Description: partial small subunit ribosomal RNA
Source: RNAcentral
AUGGCGGUGCCUAUCCUGAAGACGGCGAUCGUGAAGAAGCGGGUGAAGCACUUCAAGAGGGCGCACAGCGACCGCUACAUCGGCCUCAAGCAAAGCUGGCGCAGGCCAAAGGGUAUCGACUCCCGCGUCAGGCGGAAGUUCAAGGGAUGCACCUUGAUGCCCAACAUUGGAUAUGGUUCUAACAAGAAGACGAGGCACUACCUGCCCAACAAGUUCAAGAAGUUUGUGGUUCACAACGUCUCUGAGCUGGAGCUGCUUAUGAUGCACAACAGGACGUACUGUGCUGAGAUCGCGCACAACGUGUCCACCCAGAAGCGCAAGGCGAUAGUGGAGCGUGCCGCCCAGCUCGACGUCGUGGUCACCAACAAGCUCGCCAGGCUCCGCAGCCAGGAGGAUGAGUGA